RNAcentral lists this ribosomal RNA (483 nucleotides) under uncultured bacterium. Its description in RNAcentral is "partial 16S ribosomal RNA". It matches the Rfam family "Bacterial small subunit ribosomal RNA", at positions 30 to 507 of the family's 1533-position model. The record is from RNAcentral.
AUUGAACGCUGGCGGCAGGCCUAACACAUGCAAGUCGAGCGGAUGAAGGGAGCUUGCUCCUGGAUUCAGCGGCGGACGGGUGAGUAAUGCCUAGGAAUCUGCCUGGUAGUGGGGGAUAACGUCCGGAAACGGGCGCUAAUACCGCAUACGUCCUGAGGGAGAAAGUGGGGGAUCUUCGGACCUCACGCUAUCAGAUGAGCCUAGGUCGGAUUAGCUAGUUGGUGGGGUAAAGGCCUACCAAGGCGACGAUCCGUAACUGGUCUGAGAGGAUGAUCAGUCACACUGGAACGGAGACACGGUCCGACCUCCUACGGAAGCAGCAGUGGGGAAUAUUGGACAAUGGGCGAAAGCCUGAUCCAGCCAUGCCGCGUGUGUGAAGAAGGUCUUCGGAUUGUAAAGCACUUUAAGUUGGGAGGAAGGGCAGUAAGUUAAUACCUUGCUGUUUUGAUGUUACCAACAGAAUAAGCACCGGCUAACUUCGUG